Molecule: ribosomal RNA, 316 nt
Filed under: uncultured eukaryote
Lineage: Eukaryota
Description: partial 18S ribosomal RNA
Rfam family: Eukaryotic small subunit ribosomal RNA
Source: RNAcentral
CCCUUAGAUGUUCUGGGCCGCACGCGUGCUACACUGACCGGCGCAACAAGUUUCUUUCCUUGGCUCGAUAGGCCUGGGUAAUCUUUGAACGCCGGUCGUGAUGGGGAUAGAUCCUUGCAAUUUUUGAUCUUCAACGAGGAAUUCCUAGUAAAUGCGAGUCAUCAUCUCGCGUUGAUUACGUCCCUGCCCUUUGUACACACCGCCCGUCACACCUACCGAUUGAAUGGUCCGGUGAAGCCUCGGGAUUGCGAAUGCUUCGUGCGGACGCGAGAACUUGGCUAAACCUUACCAUUUAGAGGAAGGUGAANUCGUAACA